Molecule: unclassified non-coding RNA, 240 nt
Filed under: soil metagenome
Description: partial contains 5.8S ribosomal RNA, internal transcribed spacer 2, and large subunit ribosomal RNA
Source: RNAcentral
AACCAUUCUCACCUGCGGCUAGACCUGCGGAAGGAUCAUUACAGAGUGUUUAACCCCCUAUAAAAUGGUGGGUCUAACCUCCCGUCCUUUGCUGGGUCCCCCUUCUGGAGGACUUUCAAAACUUUCUGCUUCGGCGGGGUAUACCCGCCGGAACACCCUCAAAAAAUUCUUGAUCAAAAUGGUUCGGUCCGAGAAACUUUUUGUGAAAAUUAGCGAAAAACUUUCAACAACGGAUCUCAG